GGUUCACUUUAACACUGAGGCGUGAUGACGAGGCACUACGGUGCUGAAGUAACAAAUGCCCUGCUUCCAGGAAAAGCCUCUAAGCAUCAGGUAACAUCAAAUCGUACCCCAAACCGACACAGGUGGUCAGGUAGAGAAUACCAAGGCGCUUGAGAGAACUCGGGUGAAGGAACUAGGCAAAAUGGUGCCGUAACUUCGGGAGAAGGCACGCUGACACGUAGGUGAAGUGAUUUACUCACGGAGCUGAAGUCAGUCGAAGAUACCAGCUGGCUGCAACUGUUUAUUAAAAACACAGCACUGUGCAAACACGAAAGUGGACGUAUACGGUGUGACGCCUGCCCGGUGCCGGAAGGUUAAUUGAUGGGGUCAGCGCAAGCGAAGCUCCUGAUCGAAGCCCCGGUAAACGGCGGCCGUAACUAUAACGGUCCUAAGGUAGCGAAAUUCCUUGUCGGGUAAGUUCCGACCUGCACGAAUGGCGUAAUGAUGGCCAGGCUGUCUCCACCCGAGACUCAGUGAAAUUGAACUCGCUGUGAAGAUGCAGUGUACCCGCGGCAAGACGGAAAGACCCCGUGAACCUUUACUAUAGCUUGACACUGAACAUUGAGCCUUGAUGUGUAGGAUAGGUGGGAGGCUUUGAAGUGUGGACGCCAGUCUGCAUGGAGCCGACCUUGAAAUACCACCCUUUAAUGUUUGAUGUUCUAACGUGGACCCGUUACCCGGGUUGCGGACAGUGUCUGGUGGGUAGUUUGACUGGGGCGGUCUCCUCCUAAAGAGUAACGGAGGAGCACGAAGGUUGGCUAAUCCUGGUCGGACAUCAGGAGGUUAGUGCAAUGGCAUAAGCCAGCUUGACUGCGAGCGUGACGGCGCGAGCAGGUGCGAAAGCAGGUCAUAGUGAUCCGGUGGUUCUGAAUGGAAGGGCCAUCGCUCAACGGAUAAAAGGUACUCCGGGGAUAACAGGCUGAUACCGCCCAAGAGUUCAUAUCGACGGCGGUGUUUGGCACCUCGAUGUCGGCUCAUCACAUCCUGGGGCUGAAGUAGGUCCCAAGGGUAUGGCUGUUCGCCAUUUAAAGUGGUACGCGAGCUGGGUUUAGAACGUCGUGAGACAGUUCGGUCCCUAUCUGCCGUGGGCGCUGGAGAACUGAGGGGGGCUGCUCCUAGUACGAGAGGACCGGAGUGGACGCAUCACUGGUGUUCGGGUUGUCAUGCCAAUGGCACUGCCCGGUAGCUAAAUGCGGAAGAGAUAAGUGCUGAAAGCAUCUAAGCACGAAACUUGCCCCGAGAUGAGUUCUCCCUGAGACUUUAGGUCUCCUGAAGGAACGUUGAAGACGACGACGUUGAUAGGCCGGGUGUGUAAGCGCAGCGAUGCGUUGAGCUAACCGGUACUAAUGAACCGUGAGGCUUAACCUUACAA
This 1411-nucleotide ribosomal RNA is filed under the name Salmonella enterica. Its description in RNAcentral is "partial 23S ribosomal RNA". It matches the Rfam family "Bacterial large subunit ribosomal RNA", at positions 1542 to 2925 of the family's 2925-position model. Lineage: Bacteria; Pseudomonadati; Pseudomonadota; Gammaproteobacteria; Enterobacterales; Enterobacteriaceae. The record is from RNAcentral.